GUUUUAAUAGUUUAUAAAUAAAAUAUUGAUUUUGUAAAUCAAAGAAAAAAAAAUAAUUUUUAAAACU
RNAcentral lists this transfer RNA (67 nucleotides) under Gilpinia sp. Its description in RNAcentral is "tRNA-Thr". The record is from RNAcentral. Lineage: Eukaryota; Metazoa; Arthropoda; Insecta; Hymenoptera; Diprionidae.